This is a long non-coding RNA of Trematomus bernacchii (emerald rockcod), 626 nucleotides long. RefSeq lists it as uncharacterized. The transcript is spliced from 3 exons. The record is from RefSeq and is a predicted model, not a curated record. NCBI's taxonomy places the organism in Eukaryota, Metazoa, Chordata, Actinopteri, Perciformes, Nototheniidae.
UAAAAAAAUCUUGUAUAUAUGUAGAUUUUUUAUUAUAAGAACAUUCAUUUUUAUUCUAUGAUGCAACCCUUUUACAAAAGGCUUUCUGCACAAAGUACUUUUUCUUUUGAUACUUUAUUAUAUUUGGCUAAUAACACUUUGGAACUUUACCUUAAGUAUUAUUUUGAACUUGGGACUAUAGCAAGUAAUGGAGUAUUUAUACUUUUACUUUAGUACAGGAUCUGAGUACUUUUUCCACCACUGCUUAAGAUCCAGUAAUGGGUUGCUAUAUCCUGCACCUCACACCCUGAAUUAUGUUAAUGGCUGCAAUAAUAGUUGUUAUUUACAAUACAUUUGGAUCAUUAACACAUUUCUCUUUUUCUCUAGGUUUUGAAUGUGGAGAUGCAAACAGUGUACUGAGACUCAAUCUACAAGGUAAACGCAGAAUUCACCCGCAUCACCACCGUUCCGCUGCUGCCUACCUUCAUGUCUCAACUGGAUCGCCAUUCGUCUCAGUUGAUGAAGGUUUUCAAAAAGAAGGGGGGAACAGCAGGACGCAAUUUGGGCCUGAUCAUGGCAGCCAUGGACAAGGAUCCCACAGUUGAAACACGACGGGACUGUGUCCUUAAAGCGCUCUGCGUCUACUU